Molecule: ribosomal RNA, 567 nt
Filed under: uncultured bacterium
Lineage: Bacteria
Description: bacterial SSU rRNA
Rfam family: Bacterial small subunit ribosomal RNA
Source: RNAcentral
CCUACGGGAGGCAGCAGUGGGGAAUAUUGCACAAUGGGCGAAAGCCUGAUGCAGCGACGCCGCGUGAGGGAUGACGGCCUUCGGGUUGUAAACCUCUUUCAGCAGGGAAGAAGCGAGAGUGACGGUACCUGCAGAAGAAGCGCCGGCUAACUACGUGCCAGCAGCCGCGGUAAUACGUAGGGCGCAAGCGUUGUCCGGAAUUAUUGGGCGUAAAGAGCUCGUAGGCGGCUUGUUGCGUCGGUUGUGAAAGCCCGGGGCUUAACCCCGGGUCUGCAGUCGAUACGGGCAGGCUAGAGUGUGGUAGGGGAGAUCGGAAUUCCUGGUGUAGCGGUGAAAUGCGCAGAUAUCAGGAGGAACACCGGUGGCGAAGGCGGAUCUCUGGGCCAUUACUGACGCUGAGGAGCGAAAGCGUGGGGAGCGAACAGGAUUAGAUACCCUGGUAGUCCACGCCGUAAACGUUGGGAACUAGGUGUUGGCGACAUUCCACGUCGUCGGUGCCGCAGCUAACGCAUUAAGUUCCCGCCUGGGGAGUACGGCCGCAAGGCUAAAACUCAAAUGAAUUGACGG